Molecule: long non-coding RNA, 1159 nt
Filed under: Camarhynchus parvulus
Lineage: Eukaryota; Metazoa; Chordata; Aves; Passeriformes; Thraupidae
Description: lncRNA (ENSCPVG00000016551.2)
Source: RNAcentral
UGUUUAUUUAAUUUGUCCUUUCUGUGCCAGAGAAGGGCUGGGCUGCUGGCAGUGGCUGCCACACGAGGUUAUCAGGAGCUGGUGCUGAGGGCCCUGCCUGGUGGGAUGGGGGCAACUGGGGGCUCCAGCACAGCCCAGAGGCUCUGUUGGAACAAUCCAGCCUCACACCCUGAGACGCAGACAUGCACAGCACAAGGCUGAGGAUCGGAUCCAUCACUGGCAUCCAGCAGGAGCCAGGGUCCAGGCACCCAGGGCUCCUCCAGCGCAGAGUUAAACUGGCCCAGCUCUGAGCAGGGCUCUCCAGCAGAGCCUGGCAGCAGCAGGAAUCCUUCUGCAGGCACAGCAGGGACCUGGGGUGCAUCUUCUGCUGCCUCUGCACCCAUGACACCAGGCACACACCAUAACCACCACCAGGUACAUACACACUCACCUGGCACUGCCCUGGGCUGCCCUGCAGGGCAGGGGCACAGGCUGCUCCUGCCCCAGCUCUGUGCAGACACCGGGACUGUGCCCUGCAGGCUCCCAGCCCUGCCCUGCCCCAGCACGGCCUGCUGUGGGCCUGCAGGGAGACCUGAGAGAACCUUCCAGAACCUACCAGGGCUGCAGGAGAGCUGGGGAGGGACCCAGGGGGAUGGUUUCCCACUGCCAGAGGGCAGGAAUGGGAUGGGAUGUUGGGCAGGGAUGGGAUGGGAUGUUGGGAAGGGUGGUAGAUGGGAUGUUGGGAAGGGAUGGAUGGGAUGUCAGGCAGGGAUGGGAUGGGAUGUCAGGGAGGGAUGGAUGGGAUGUCAGGCAGGGAUGGAUGGGAUGUUGGGAAGGGAUAGAGGGGAUGUCAGGCAGGGAUGGAUGGGAUGUCGGGCAGGGCUGGAUGGGAUGUUGGGCAGGGAUGGGAUGGGAUGUCAGGCAGGGAUGGAUGGGAUGUUGGGAAGGGAUAGAGGGGAUGUCAGGCAGGGAUGGAUGGGAUGUUGGGCAGGGCUGGAUGGGAUGUUGGGCAGGGAUGGGAUGGGAUGGGAUGUUGGGCAGGAAUUCCUCCCUGUGAAGUGGGCAGCCCUGGCACAGGGUGCCCAGAGCAGCUGUGGCUGCCCCUGGAUCCCAGGCAGUGCCCAGGGCCAGGCUUGGAGCAGUGGAAGGUGUCCCUGCCAUGACAGGGGUGGCACUGGAU